Molecule: long non-coding RNA, 467 nt
Filed under: Gallus gallus (chicken)
Lineage: Eukaryota; Metazoa; Chordata; Aves; Galliformes; Phasianidae
Source: RNAcentral
GCUCUUUUUUCAUAAGUAAAUGACACUGAAUGGUGUGGAUUCGAUUCUUUGCUGGGGCAAACUCCGGCUGAAGUUUUAAUGUUGACUCAUACCAUUUCAUCGCCUUUUCGAACUCUUCCAUUGCUACGUAGACAUUCGCCAGUGUGAAAUGAUUAACCACGAAGUGUGGUGCUAUUUCCACUGCCAUGGUAGCCACAAUGAUGGCAUCAUUCCAAAGUCUGGCGUUGUGGAAGAUGUUUGCCAGGCUUAUUAGUGGUACAUCCUUCAUGUGAUGGGGUGCAUAGUGUAAUGCUUGCCGUAAACAAUCAAUCGCCUUCUUUCCUUGGCCUUUCACCCUCCAGUAGAGAGCUGCCAUGCUAGAGAGGACCCAUGAAGUCUGAUUCUUUUCCAGAGCUUUGGCUAUUCGAGUACCAACUUGUUCUAACGACUGUGGUGAGUACUGGUCUUUGCCAAGAUUCUGUAGCACC